AUUGAACGCUGGCGGCAGGCUUAACACAUGCAAGUCGAACGGUAGCAGGAGAAAGCUUGCUUUCUUGCUGACGAGUGGCGGACGGGUGAGUAAUGCUUGGGAAUCUGGCUUAUGGAGGGGGAUAACGACGGGAAACUGUUGCUAAUACCACGUAUUAUCGGAAGAUGAAAGUGCGGGACUGAGAGGCCGCAUGCCAUAGGAUGAGUCCAAGUGGGAUUAGGUAGUUGGUGGGGUAAAGGCCUACCAAGCCUGCGAUCUCUAGCUGGUCUGAGAGGAUGACCAGCCACACUGGAACUGAGACACGGUCCAGACUCCUACGGGAGGCAGCAGUGGGGAAUAUUGCGCAAUGGGGGGAACCCUGACGCACCCAUGCCGCGUGAAUGAAGAAGGCCUUAGGGUUGUAAAGUUCUUUCGGUAUUGAGGAAGGUUGAUGUGUUAAUAGCACAUCAUAUUGACGUUAAAUACAGAAGAAGCACCGGCUAACUCCGUGCCAGCAGCCGCGGUAAUACGGAGGGUGCGAGCGUUAAUCAAAAUAACUGGGCGUAAGGGGCACGCGCGCGGAUAUUUAAGUGAUGUGUGAAAGCCCCGGGCUUCACCUGGGAAUUGCAUUUCAGACUGGGUAACUAGAGUACUUUAGGGGAGGGGUAGAAUUCCACGUGUAGCGGUGAUAUGCAUAGAUAUGUGGAGGAAUACCGAAGGCGAGGGCAGCCUCUUGGGAAUGCACUGACGCACAUGUGCGAAAGCGUGGGGAGCAAACAGGAAUAGAUACUCUUUUAGUCAGGGGCGAAUUCCAUUUUGGUCUGCGGCCCGGGGGAUCCUAUAGUUCUAGAGGGGCCGCACCGCGGGAGCUCCAAUUCCCCAUACAGUGAGUCGAUUACGCGCUCUCCCGGCCCUUUUUACAAC
RNAcentral lists this ribosomal RNA (903 nucleotides) under uncultured Lysobacteraceae bacterium. RNAcentral's name for it is "bacterial SSU rRNA". It matches the Rfam family "Bacterial small subunit ribosomal RNA", at positions 28 to 856 of the family's 1533-position model. The record is from RNAcentral. Lineage: Bacteria; Pseudomonadati; Pseudomonadota; Gammaproteobacteria; Lysobacterales; Lysobacteraceae.